Molecule: unclassified non-coding RNA, 278 nt
Filed under: uncultured fungus
Lineage: Eukaryota; Fungi
Description: partial contains small subunit ribosomal RNA, internal transcribed spacer 1, and 5.8S ribosomal RNA
Rfam family: Eukaryotic small subunit ribosomal RNA (bases 1-73)
Source: RNAcentral
GCAAACUUGGUCAUUUAGAGGAAGUAAAAGUCGUAACAAGGUCUCCGUUGGUGAACCAGCGGAGGGAUCAUUACCGAGUUUACAACUCCCAAACCCCUGUGAACAUACCUACACUGUUGCUUCGGCGGUGCCCACAGCCCCUCGCGGGAGGUGGCCCGCCAGAGGACCCCAAACCCCUGAAUUAUGACUUGUAACUAUCUGAGUAAACCGAAAAAAAAAAAACAAUUAAAACUUUCAACAACGGAUCUCUUGGCUCUGGCAUCGAUGAAGAACGCAGC